Molecule: ribosomal RNA, 329 nt
Filed under: uncultured eukaryote
Lineage: Eukaryota
Description: partial 18S ribosomal RNA
Rfam family: Eukaryotic small subunit ribosomal RNA
Source: RNAcentral
CCCUUAGAUGUUCUGGGCCGCACGCGCGCUACACUGUUUGAUUCAGCGAGUCUUAACCUUGACCGAAAGGUUUGGGUAAUCUUCUAAAGUCAAACGUGAUGGGGAUCGAUCAUUACAAUUAUUGAUCGUGAACGAGGAAUUCCUAGUAAAUGCAAGUCAUCAGCUUGCGUUGAUUACGUCCCUGCCCUUUGUACACACCGCCCGUCGCUACUACCGAUUGAAUGGUUUAGUGAGAUCUCCGGAUUGGCUCUGUAGGUCCCGCAAGGGAUUUAUUAGUAGCCAAGAAGCUGCUCAAACUUGAUCAUUUAGAGGAAGUAAAAGUCGUAACA